UCAGUACUUUAAUAUAAAACUCACAUAUCUAUUUAAUUAUUUGCUAUGACACUCUGAUAAACUUGAACUUGUGUGAUACAUAUAUGUUUCUUAUCAGAUUUAAUUAAUGAAGUUUUGGUGCAUUUUAACCAGUAAUAAGGCUACAAAAGUAGCAUCAGGUGUAUUCUAACCAUUGGUAUUUUUCCUGGCAACAUUUCUAUUCUAGUCUGUGAUAAAUUAUAAAUAAAAAAAAUGUUUGUAAUGUUUCAGUUAUUAACAAGUAGAACCAUGGCAACCAGUUCUGAUGAUGUACCAGAUUGGCUCAAGGAUCAUACUUAUACUAUUUCUACUCUCUGGGCAGACAUUCAAUAUUUAAUUUAUGUUUGGAAAUGCAAGAAAAAGGCAUGCAUUCCUGAAAAGUCAAUGAUUGGUUGCACCUCUUAAAGAUAACUUUCUGUUAUGAGAAAAGAUGAGAUUCUUGGACUCCUGCAUAGCACCACCAGAAAGGAAAAUCCCAUCAUGUUGCAAAAUAAAAGUCUUGGACCAAUUUUAAUUUAAGAUAUAUAUAUUAUACUGUAAGCUGUAUACAUAUUUAUGUAUAUCCUGUCAUUCAGCCAACAGGUUUGGAUUUAGUAUAUCUUUAAAUCUGUUUGAUAUUGUACUUGAAAACUAUUAAUCUGAGCCCCAUUAAAACAAGAGGGAGUGCAGUAGAUGAGUGGUAAGGGAAAUUUUACUUUUUUAAAAUUAAAAUAAGAAUCUAACAAAAGUUAACAUAUAAAAUAUGGUGCAUUCUCCUUAAAACUAAAACCUGGUGCAAAGGUUUAAAAUGUUGGCAAAAAAAAAGCAACAUCAAUUACAUAUUCUUAAUUCCCUUUGCAAAACUUACUGAGAAGAACAUGCAUGUUGUUCCCUCAUAAGUUUCUUGACAGAGGAAAUCUUGUUUAUAUUAGAUUUGAAUUAAGCAAAUUAAGAAAAAAAAAAUUAUAAUCAUUAUUUCAAAUGGUUUUAUCUAAACCUUAUGAAUUAUUUUUCAGUUAUAAGUAUAUUGAAAUGAAUGGAUAAUCAUGAAAUCGUUAAAUAAUUGCUGCUAUCAUUUCAUUGACUAAAGAACCAUAAUUUUUUUUUUUAAUUAAUUUCAAAAUGAUUUUUUUCAAGCAGAGUUCACAUAGAUCUUGAGUGAAAUUUUUAUUUUUUUGACUAAUGCUUCAAUUUUAUUGUAUCAUUAGUUUUUUAUUUUUAUUACCCAGAAUAUUUUAAAAAUGAGUACACUAUUUUCAUGUAAUAAUGUAACUUGGUAUUCAUACAUCAAAAUACGCUAUAAUCU
This is a long non-coding RNA of Biomphalaria glabrata, 1303 nucleotides long. RefSeq lists it as uncharacterized. NCBI's taxonomy places the organism in Eukaryota, Metazoa, Mollusca, Gastropoda, Planorbidae. The record is from RefSeq and is a predicted model, not a curated record. The transcript is spliced from 3 exons.